CUUCACGGAACCGAGCCACAGCGGUCGGUCCGACGGUCGCUCCCGCCCGUAUGCGGCGAUCAGGGCCUCUGCCUC
RNAcentral lists this antisense RNA (75 nucleotides) under Streptomyces sp. BK340. Its description in RNAcentral is "ASpks TB sRNA". It matches the Rfam family "ASpks TB sRNA". The record is from RNAcentral. Lineage: Bacteria; Bacillati; Actinomycetota; Actinomycetes; Kitasatosporales; Streptomycetaceae.